This 725-nucleotide ribosomal RNA is filed under the name uncultured Streptococcus sp. RNAcentral describes it as "bacterial SSU rRNA". It matches the Rfam family "Bacterial small subunit ribosomal RNA", at positions 28 to 731 of the family's 1533-position model. The record is from RNAcentral. Lineage: Bacteria; Bacillati; Bacillota; Bacilli; Lactobacillales; Streptococcaceae.
GACGAACGCUGGCGGCGUGCCUAAUACAUGCAAGUAGAACGCACAGUUUAUACCGUAGCUUGCUACACCAUAGACUGUGAGUUGCGAACGGGUGAGUAACGCGUAGGUAACCUGCCUGGUAGCGGGGGAUAACUAUUGGAAACGAUAGCUAAUACCGCAUAAUAUUAAUUAUUGCAUGAUAAUUGAUUGAAAGGUGCAAAUGCAUCACUACCAGAUGGACCUGCGUUGUAUUAGCUAGUAGGUGAGGUAACGGCUCACCUAGGCGACGAUACAUAGCCGACCUGAGAGGGUGAUCGGCCACACUGGGACUGAGACACGGUCCAGACUCCUACGGGAGGCAGCAGUAGGGAAUCUUCGGCAAUGGACGAAAGUCUGACCGAGCAACGCCGCGUGAGUGAAGAAGGUUUUCGGAUCGUAAAGCUCUGUUGUAAGAGAAGAACGGGUGUGAGAGUGGAAAGUUCACACUGUGACGGUAUCUUACCAGAAAGGGACGGCUAACUACGUGCCAGCAGCCGCGGUAAUACGUAGGUCCCGAGCGUUGUCCGGAUUUAUUGGGCGUAAAGCGAGCGCAGGCGGUUAGAUAAGUCUGAAGUUAAAAGGCUGUGGCUUAACCAUAGUACGCUUUGGAAACUGUUUAACUUGAGUGCAGAAGGGGAGAGUGGAAUUCCAUGUGUGCGGGGAAAGGGUAGAGUAUGGAUGAUCUCGGUGGUUUACACCUUUUUCUC